UACGGGAGGCAGCAGUGAGGAAUAUUGGUCAAUGGACGCAAGUCUGAACCAGCCAAGUAGCGUGCAGGAUGACGGCCCUAUGGGUUGUAAACUGCUUUUGUGCGGGAAUAAAGAAGGGGAUGCGUCCCCUGUUGCAUGUACCGCACGAAUAAGGACCGGCUAAUUCCGUGCCAGCAGCCGCGGUAAU
This 187-nucleotide ribosomal RNA is filed under the name uncultured rumen bacterium. Its description in RNAcentral is "partial 16S ribosomal RNA". It matches the Rfam family "Bacterial small subunit ribosomal RNA", at positions 340 to 524 of the family's 1533-position model. The record is from RNAcentral.